RNAcentral lists this ribosomal RNA (253 nucleotides) under uncultured bacterium. RNAcentral describes it as "partial 16S ribosomal RNA". It matches the Rfam family "Bacterial small subunit ribosomal RNA", at positions 524 to 776 of the family's 1533-position model. The record is from RNAcentral.
UACAGAUGUCUCAAGCGUUGUUCGGAUUCAUUGGGCGUAAAGGGUGCGUAGGCGGCGCGGUAAGUCGGAUGUGAAAUCUCGGAGCUUAACUUCGAAACUGCAUUCGAUACUGCCGUGCUUGAGGACUGGAGAGGAGACUGGAAUUUACGGUGUAGCGGUGAAAUGCGUAGAUAUCGUAAGGAAGACCAGUGGCGAAGGCGGGUCUCUGGACAGUUCCUGACGCUGAGGCACGAAGGUCAGGGGAGCAAACGGG